Aspergillus tubingensis CBS 134.48 is the source of this 106-nucleotide small nucleolar RNA. It matches the Rfam family "Small nucleolar RNA Z13/snr52". Rfam says of the family: Z13 or snr52 is a member of the C/D class of snoRNA which contain the C (UGAUGA) and D (CUGA) box motifs. Most of the members of the box C/D family function in directing site-specific 2'-O-methylation of substrate RNAs. The record is from Rfam. Lineage: Eukaryota; Fungi; Ascomycota; Eurotiomycetes; Eurotiales; Aspergillaceae.
CUCGAUCAAAUGAUGAAAUAUUUCGGAUGUAAACUCACAGACCUGUUCCGAAUUGCGCAAACAAUUCAUGUGGAUAUUUUCCGUUGCCUUCCUUCUGAAUGAUCGA